Molecule: transfer RNA, 71 nt
Filed under: Daphnia pulex (common water flea)
Lineage: Eukaryota; Metazoa; Arthropoda; Branchiopoda; Diplostraca; Daphniidae
Also listed under: 1 other name
Rfam family: tRNA
About the family: Transfer RNA (tRNA) molecules are approximately 80 nucleotides in length. Their secondary structure includes four short double-helical elements and three loops (D, anti-codon, and T loops).
Source: Rfam by way of RNAcentral
GCAUCGAUGGUUUAGUGGUAGAAUGCUCGCCUGCCACGCGGGCGGCCCGGGUUCGAUUCCCGGUCGAUGCA